This is a long non-coding RNA of Wasmannia auropunctata (little fire ant), 732 nucleotides long. RefSeq lists it as uncharacterized. The record is from RefSeq and is a predicted model, not a curated record. NCBI's taxonomy places the organism in Eukaryota, Metazoa, Arthropoda, Insecta, Hymenoptera, Formicidae. The transcript is spliced from 2 exons.
GGUGUAAGAAUACAUACAUGGUGUAUUCUUACACCAUGGAUAAUACAACCUCAAUAAAUAGCUGAGUAUCGUAGCUGUGACAGCUGUGUAGCUAACACUGUGAUUUUGUGUGCCUAUCUCGUUGGAAUCAUUCAUUGAAUACCUAUACUGAAAGGACGAAGAAAGAUGACCAAGUGCGUCCCGCAAUUGCCGCCUUCCGGGAACUAUGGCAUAUGAUUGACGGUGGCACCUUUCUUAGGAUCAUUCAUCGAACUUAAAGAAAUCAUCAGCCUGCGAAAUGUGUUCAAAAGUUAAUCUCUCUGUAAUUGUCCCGAUCGCAUAUUAAUUGGCUAGUUCGAGAGAAUGAUUACGCACACAAAUUUUAGAGUUUUGGGAAUUUAGAGCUCGUCGACUUUCAAUUGGAAUCGGUUUUAUAAUUAGAUCGUUACAUCAUCUCUAUGAUUACAUCUCAAAAUAUCCCGCAUAAGACACAGGCUGCAAUCGGAAAUUCGCAAUUUUGAUUGUAAAUAAUUACAGGUCCUCUUUAGAACUUGAAUAUUUGUAAAGUUAUAUACUUUUUUCAAAAAAAAAAAAAAAAUAAAGCUGAAGAGAUUUAUAGUUUUCAAGUGAUUUUACAGAAAUUAUUUUUAAAAAAAUGUUGAACUUUAUAGAAUCUUUUUUAUAGAACUCUAAAAAAUAUGACUCUUAAACAAUAAGGAGCAUCAUAAAUAAAUAAUCUUCUGAUGCUUCAAA